This 400-nucleotide ribosomal RNA is filed under the name uncultured bacterium. Its description in RNAcentral is "bacterial SSU rRNA". It matches the Rfam family "Bacterial small subunit ribosomal RNA", at positions 29 to 444 of the family's 1533-position model. The record is from RNAcentral.
AAUGAACGUUGGCGGCGUGGGUUAGGCAUGCAAGUCGCGCGAUAAGAUUCCUUCGGGGAUCCCAAAGCGGCGAAAGGGAGAGUAACGCGUAGUUAUCUGCCCUGAGGACUGGGAUAGCGGCGGGAAACUGCCGGUAAUACCAGAUGAUAUCUCCGGAUCAAAGGUGUGAUUCCGCCUCAGGAUGAGACUGCGUCCUAUUAGCUAGUUGGUGUGGUAACGGCUCACCAAGGCGAAGAUGGGUACCGGGUGUGAGAGCACGACCCGGCUCACUGGGACUGAGACACUGCCCAGACACCUACGGGUGGCUGCAGUCGAGAAUCUUCGGCAAUGGGCGAAAGCCUGACCGAGCGACGCCGCGUGCGGGAUGAAGGCCUCGGGUUGUAAACCGACUGCAGUGGGA